This 374-nucleotide ribosomal RNA is filed under the name uncultured bacterium. RNAcentral describes it as "bacterial SSU rRNA". It matches the Rfam family "Bacterial small subunit ribosomal RNA", at positions 524 to 898 of the family's 1533-position model. The record is from RNAcentral.
UACGGAGGGUGCUAGCGUUGUUCGGAAUUACUGGGCGUAAAGGGCGCGUAGGCGGCCGUUUGCGUCGGAUGUGAAAGCCCGGGGCUCAACCUCGGAACGGCAUUCGAUACGGGACGGCUGGAGACCGGGAGAGGAGAGUGGAAUAGCCAGUGUAGAGGUGAAAUUCGUAGAUAUUGGCUGGAACACCGGUGGCGAAAGCGGCUCUCUGGCCCGGUUCUGACGCUGAGGCGCGAAAGCGUGGGGAGCAAACAGGAUUAGAUACCCUGGUAGUCCACGCCCUAAACGAUGUGUGCUGGGCGUCGGGGGGCUUGCCCCUCGGUGCCGGAGCUAACGCGGUAAGCACACCGCCUGGGGAGUACGGCCGCAAGGUUAAA